GAUGAACGCUGGCGGCGUGCCUAAUACAUGCAAGUCGAGCGAACAGACGAGGAGCUUGCUCCUCUGACGUUAGCGGCGGACGGGUGAGUAACACGUGGAUAACCUACCUAUAAGACUGGGAUAACUUCGGGAAACCGGAGCUAAUACCGGAUAAUAUAUUGAACCGCAUGGUUCAAUAGUGAAAGACGGUUUUGCUGUCACUUAUAGAUGGAUCCGCGCCGCAUUAGCUAGUUGGUAAGGUAACGGCUUACCAAGGCAACGAUGCGUAGCCGACCUGAGAGGGUGAUCGGCCACACUGGAACUGAGACACGGUCCAGACUCCUACGGGAGGCAGCAGUAGGGAAUCUUCCGCAAUGGGCGAAAGCUUGACGGAGCAACGCCGCGUGAGUGAUGAAGGUCUUCGGAUCGUAAAACUCUGUUAUUAGGGAAGAACAAAUGUAUAAGUAACUAUGCACGUCUUGACGGUACCUAAUCAGAAAGCCACGGCUAACUACGUG
This 497-nucleotide ribosomal RNA is filed under the name uncultured bacterium. Its description in RNAcentral is "partial 16S ribosomal RNA". It matches the Rfam family "Bacterial small subunit ribosomal RNA", at positions 28 to 507 of the family's 1533-position model. The record is from RNAcentral.